RNAcentral lists this ribosomal RNA (381 nucleotides) under Triticum aestivum (bread wheat). RNAcentral's name for it is "partial small subunit ribosomal RNA". Lineage: Eukaryota; Viridiplantae; Streptophyta; Magnoliopsida; Poales; Poaceae. The record is from RNAcentral.
AUGGCGAAAAGGAGCCUUGGAAUUCUCUUAACUGAAUAUUUAGAAAAAAAAGAAGGAAAAGAUUCUAUUGAGACAGUUAUGAAUUUGAUUGAGUUUCCCUUUCUUGACCAAACAAGUUCCAAUUCUGUUAUUUCAACUACACCAAAUGAUCUUUCGAAUUGGUCAAGAAUCUCCAGAUUAUGGCCCCUUCUAUACGGUACCAGUUGUUGUUUCAUUGAAUUUGCUUCAUUAAUAGGCUCACGAUUCGACUUUGAUCAUUAUGGAUUGGUACCAAGAUCAAGUCCUAGGCAAGCAGACCUAAUUUUAACAGCCGGUACAGUAACAAUGAAAAUGGCUCCCUCUUUAGUGAGAUUAUACGAGCAAAUGCCUGAACCAAAGUAA